GACGAACGCUGGCGGCGUGCUUAACACAUGCAAGUCGAACGGUGAAGCGCUUUCCUUUUUGGUUGGUGUGGAUGAGUGGCGAACGGGUGAGUAACACGUGAGUAACCUGCCCCCUUCUUCUGGAUAACCGCAUGAAAGUGUGGCUAAUACGGGAUAUUCUGCGCCUGCUGCAUGGUGGGUGUGGGAAAGAUUGUGCCUUUGGUUGUUUUCGGUGGGGGAUGGGCUCGCGGCCUAUCAGCUUGUUGGUGGGGUGAUGGCCUACCAAGGCGGUGACGGGUAGCCGGCCGGAGAGGAUGGACGGUCACACUGGGACUGGGACACGGCCCAGACUCCUACGGGAGGCAGCAGUGGGGAAGAUUGCACAAUGGGCGCAAGCCUGAUGCAGCGACGCCGCGUGAGGGAUGGAGGCCUUCGGGUUGUGAGCCUCUUUCGCCAGUGAAGCAGGCCUGCUCCUUGUGGGUGGGUUGACGGUAGCUGGAUAAGAAGCGCCGGCUAACUACGUG
RNAcentral lists this ribosomal RNA (503 nucleotides) under uncultured bacterium. Its description in RNAcentral is "partial 16S ribosomal RNA". It matches the Rfam family "Bacterial small subunit ribosomal RNA", at positions 28 to 507 of the family's 1533-position model. The record is from RNAcentral.